GACGAACGCUGGCGGCGUGCUUAACACAUGCAAGUCGAACGAUGAAGAAGAGAAACGCGAACUUCGGUUCAAAUUUCACUUCGGAUUAGUGGCAGACGGGUGAGUAACGCGUGAGCAACCUACCUCUUACAAAGGGAUAGCCUCGGGAAACCGUGAUUAAUACCAUAUGACACAUUCAUAAGGCAUCUUAAGAAUGUUAAAGCUACGGCGGUAAGAGAUGGGCUCGCGUCCCAUUAGCUAGUUGGUGAGGUAACGGCCCACCAAGGCGACGAUGGGUAACCGGCCUGAGAGGGUGAACGGUCACAUUGGAACUGAGACACGGUCCAAACUCCUACGGGAGGCAGCAGUGGGGAAUAUUGCACAAUGGAGGGAACUCUGAUGCAGCGACGCCGCGUGAGCGAUGAAGGAAUUCGUUUCGUAAAGCUCUGUUCUAUGGGAAGAAAGGGACUGUACCAUAGGAGAAAGCCCCGGCUAAAUCCGUG
This 482-nucleotide ribosomal RNA is filed under the name uncultured bacterium. RNAcentral describes it as "partial 16S ribosomal RNA". It matches the Rfam family "Bacterial small subunit ribosomal RNA", at positions 28 to 507 of the family's 1533-position model. The record is from RNAcentral.